Long non-coding RNA from Ictalurus punctatus (channel catfish), 2236 nucleotides. The record is from Ensembl. NCBI's taxonomy places the organism in Eukaryota, Metazoa, Chordata, Actinopteri, Siluriformes, Ictaluridae.
CUGCAGGACAGGAGGAAGGAAGGAGGGGAGAAAACUCUGAAUACCGUCUUGUUUAUUCCUGCUCUUUUUUUUCCAUAUUUACUUCUGAGCCGUCACUCAACUUCUCUCCUUCCCUCGUCUGUCCUCCCUUGCGGCUUUUCUCUCACGUCCAGGCCGUGGGACGGCGCUGCCGGCGAGCCCUGAGAUCUGGAGGCGCAUCUGCGAUCAAUUAGAGCGCGGCUGCAGCCACCCAUGGACUCGGUGACGGAUGGGGCUCGUGUAUUUAUAGCCGAGCAGAAUCUCCGCGGCCGAUCCGGAAGUCCGAAGCCGAAGUCGUGGCUAUCUGUCCCGGCCUGUCAGGGCGUUAAACCUGUACGGGAAACCGUGGCCAGACCACAUCUGCCCCUCGUUAGGCUGCAUAAAUGACUGCCAUGUGGUGCGCUGAUAAAUAGGCCAGUCUAUUUAUUGGAGCACAACAAAUUGGCUACAAACACUGACAUGGGAUCGAAGAACUAUAAAUAUUGGACGCGAUGAAAGUUUUAAAAUGUGCCGCAGCUAGUUUACGAGAGUCCAGGUUUCCCCUCUCUUUCUUUUUAUGUACUUCGAGCAAGUUCUCUCUCUCUCUCUCUCUCUCUCUCUGGUUCUCUCUUUCUUUUCUUCUCCGACUACCAGUGCAGUAAAAAAAAAAAAAAAAGAAGCAUUUUCUCUCGUUUCUCACUCUGCAGUAAACCAUCCAGUCCGUGACGUGGACUCGCAGUGCUUUUCCUCUACGAUCUUAUCGAGUCGACGCAGAAACGCGACAGAAAUUCCACAUCGAAUCGGCAGCAGACGGGCCGUAAACCUUGUGUAAUUGCAUAUUUGGAGAGUUUAUCUGGGUUUUUUUUUUUUUUUUUUUUUUUUGCGAACACGCACACGAUUCUCUUCCCUGGUGGUCCUUAAACACAUCCAUAUGUCCUGUGUUUCUCUUCUCACUCCUCUCCCUCUCUCUCUAUCUCCCCUUCCCUCCCUCCUUCCUCCCCCUGACUCUUCUGAAACGUUAACCGUCGCACGAUUAGCCGGACCUGCGUGCCGUGCUUUUUUCCCGUCGUGAAGAUGUUGUGCGGUUCGAGACGCUUUCUCUACGUCAGACGAGGUUUCUGCGCGGACGUAGGACGUCAGCGGCGUCCGACCGGGAACACACACGGAACGCGGGGAGGGAUUUGGAUUGGAUCAUGUGUGGGCCUGGAGGAAGAAAGCCCAUCUGUUUUAAAACACGUGCUAAAUAUUAGCGUAUUCGCAUUUUCCUGUUUUGGCGAGUGGAGGGAGGGGCCCGAGAGCAGAAAGGUCUCGGGCCGGGGUUAGGCGCUGUUUGAAACUGGAAACCCUUUUUCAGCCUUAUUUGUUUUAUGAUUCCGCAGGACGCCGUGUUUACACUCGACGUGCAACAUCUGGAUUAGAUAAUUUGUCUGGAAUUAACCGCCGCUGGAUGCUUAUCGAGCCCUGUCUGAUUAAAUCUGUUUGAUGUCUCUGCUUUGUGUUUCAUAAUGAUUUUUUUCCCCCUCUGUCAGCGUGUCACUGUGAGAUUUGCAUAACAGAUGAAGGUCGCGGUGGACGGCAACUAUCCCACACACACACACACACACACACACACACACAGCGUAGCUACAUUUUAUAAUUAGUUUCCUGCUUUUGAUCUCUGUUGGUUCGUUUAAAAAACAAAGUGAUUGGUGGCCAAGGUCCAGCAGGCCUCAAGUCCUGGCAAAACACGUAAAAAAAAAAAAAAAAAAAAAAAAAAAAAAAAAAAUGGCACCACUCACAAAGCUGAUAAGUGUUUCUGUUUGCGUAUUUGUUUACAUGUUUGUGUGUGUCCCUUGGACCGUUCCCAUGUGCCGUGGAAUCAAACAGUCCUGUGUGCUAACUAAUGAACACAUUCUGAGAGAGUCGAGUUCGCCAGAACGUACGCCGAGUGCGUCAGUGGAGUCUGAGUUCUUUCGAAGAUUGAUAACGAGGAGACACCAUGAUGGAACGUUGCCUUGUUUUCGUCUCAUAAAUGAAAUGUAGAUAAGACUGGUCUUGCUCAUUUCAGGCCAGCUGUGCUACUAACGCUGCAAUACACUGCUAGCAACAUGAUUGAUGUCAACUCGUCUGCUAAUUACAAAUAAUUGCUAAUCUAAUGAAGCUGCCUGACAAACAAUUUGUUCUUGUCAGUUUUUGGGUCUCAUUAACGUCCUCGAGCCAUUUGUCUUUCCAAAUGACAGUCGAGAAGUAGCUACUAGUA